UUCGCUUCUUCGCCUUUUGGCUAAGAUCAAAUGUAGUAUCUGUUCUUAUCAGUUUAAAUUAAGACAACUAAACACAAAGCCUAAAUGAUUCUUAGAGUUUGGAUAGUUUUUGCCAGUAUCAUUCCUU
Macaca fascicularis (crab-eating macaque) is the source of this 127-nucleotide small nuclear RNA. Its record names the gene U2. It matches the Rfam family "U2 spliceosomal RNA". Rfam says of the family: U2 is a small nuclear RNA (snRNA) component of the spliceosome (involved in pre-mRNA splicing). Complementary binding between U2 snRNA (in an area lying towards the 5' end but 3' to hairpin I) and the branchpoint sequence (BPS) of the intron results the bulging out of an unpaired adenosine, on the BPS, which initiates a nucleophilic attack at the intronic 5' splice site, thus starting the first of two transesterification reactions that mediate splicing. NCBI's taxonomy places the organism in Eukaryota, Metazoa, Chordata, Mammalia, Primates, Cercopithecidae. The record is from Ensembl.